GACGAACGCUGGCGGCGUGCCUAAUACAUGCAAGUUGAGCGAUGAAGAUUGGUGCUUGCACCAAUUUGAAGAGCAGCGAACGGGUGAGUAGCGCGUGGGGAAUCUGCCUUUGAGCGGGGGACAACAUUUGGAAACGAAUGCUAAUACCGCAUAAUAACUUUAAACAUAAGUUUUAAGUUUGAAAGAUGCAAUUGCAUCACUCAAAGAUGAUCCCGCGUUGUAUUAGCUAGUUGGUGAGGUAAAGGCUCACCAAGGCGAUGAUACAUAGCCGACCUGAGAGGGUGGUCGGCCACAUUGGGACUGAGACACGGCCCAAACUCCUACGGGAGGCAGCAGUAGGGAAUCUUCGGCAAUGGACGAAAGUCUGACCGAGCAACGCCGCGUGAGUGAAGAAGGUUUUCGGAUCGUAAAACUCUGUUGGUAGAGAAGAACGUUGGUGAGAGUGGAAAGCUCAUCAAGUGACGGUAACUACCCAGAAAGGGACGGCUAACUACGUG
Molecule: ribosomal RNA, 497 nt
Filed under: uncultured bacterium
Lineage: Bacteria
Description: partial 16S ribosomal RNA
Rfam family: Bacterial small subunit ribosomal RNA
Source: RNAcentral